This is a long non-coding RNA of Neofelis nebulosa (Clouded leopard), 826 nucleotides long. RefSeq lists it as uncharacterized. The record is from RefSeq and is a predicted model, not a curated record. NCBI's taxonomy places the organism in Eukaryota, Metazoa, Chordata, Mammalia, Carnivora, Felidae. The transcript has 3 exons.
GCUUUCACGGAGCUGGUAGUCCAGCUGGCUGGGUUCUGGGUUCCAGUGAAACUGCAGAGAAGAAGAACUGCCUUUCAACUUUCUGCUUCUCAGAAAGGCAUUAAAAAUACAGUUCAUCUUCACCUCAUUCAAUGAAAAGAUGUGCCCCAGAUGUGUAACAUAACUGGACCGAGGUCACACAGCAAGCUCAAAGCUGCUCCCGGCUAGAACAUAAGUUUCCUACUCCCUUUCCAGACUUCGCUUACACCACUACUAUAUAGGAGAUGUCAUUGUGGUCUAAGAGAUGUUGGGGAAUGAAGGACUCAUAAUCAUGGAAAUGCCAUGAUCCCCUGAAUCUCCCUCACCAGUUCCUAUAGACCAAGAUUACCCAGGGCCUCUGUGUCUCCAGUGUGUUGCAGAAAGAAGCCAACAAAGCUAACCUUUGCCAAAAGGUGUCACAAUUUUAUAGAUGUGGCUACUGAGACUCAAAGGAACUGAGAAAUGUGUCUGAGCUAAUACAUGGCACUGGUUCUUAUAUAACCUGCAAUUUCCUCUCUGACACCCAUGCUGCCUUUGCAUGUGAUAAGACCCCACAGCUUAAAGACUGAGCUGGACUCCCUCCCAUAGGCCUCAGCACAAGGUAAUUAGUAGAUGAACACUUUCCAUGACCUGCAAAGAAUGUAAGGUUUCCUUUACAACAGGCUCACCUUUUCUGAAGACACGGGUUUUCUCUCUGUGUGUCUGAGACCUUCCUGUGUGAAUAAAUGUUCCUCCAGCUAGUGUUCAAAGUUUCCUUAGAGAAGUCCAAAGCACAGAGAGGCGUCUGUUGGAUCUCUAAGUCCCCAAA